Long non-coding RNA from Lytechinus variegatus (green sea urchin), 954 nucleotides. RefSeq lists it as uncharacterized. Lineage: Eukaryota; Metazoa; Echinodermata; Echinoidea; Temnopleuroida; Toxopneustidae. The record is from RefSeq and is a predicted model, not a curated record. The transcript has 3 exons.
CUGAAAGGAAUACGGUCAGCUCAAAUUUUGGAUGCAUAUUUUUUUCCUUUGUAGUUGGUGUGUUGAAAAGUACGAUAUCCUGGGAAUUGAGAGGAUUCUUCAGUUAGCUUAGAGAUCUGAGACAGUUUACAUCAGUUGAGUUUAAAUCGAAGACUUCUUCAAAGCCAAGUUUCAGUUUUUGUCAAUUGCAGCCUCAUUUGUGUGUUCUGUCAAUGCUCAAGACUUUUGAAAGAACAGUGUAUGUUUUCUUUCUCUAUGGUUUUGUUGGGUGCAUCUAGCACAAUUUGUGCAAUUUGUGAUAAAACACAAGUGAAACUAACAAUUCUUCUGUCCUUGUAGUACUGUUUUGUGACUUUCUUGUGUUUGUAAUUUUCUAUUCUUUGUGUUUUCUAGUACAUGGCAGUCUAGUGUUAAGGACACUCAGGAAUCAUUCUGUGUAGAAGUUUAUGUGGAAAUCACUAACCUUGCCUGGUUCUGGCAUGAAAGAAAUACUGAUAGGGCUGUAAAUAAUGAAAGAAGUACUGGCAAGGCUGUCAAUACUGAAGUGAAAUGAAAUACUGAAUGAAAUAGUGUACUGUCAAGACUGCAUUGAAUACCGGUAAAAUAAGGAAGCAACUUUAUCUCUAGUGAUAUAUAAAUUACAUGCUUUAAGUGACAUAAAUUCAAAGACCAAAAAGAAAAAAGUGAGAAAGAAAGAAGUAGAGUAGUUGGAUAGAAGAUAUUUGAUUAUAGAGUCUUUUAACUUAAAAUAAAAAGAAUAGAGUUUGAAAAAUUACAAAAGAGUAAGUAAAAUUGAAGUGAAGAGGAUGAGUAACCUAGAGUAGUUUAAAAGAGCAUAUUUGAUUACAGAGAGGUUUUUUUAAAUAGGUGUAACCUUUUAAUUACAAACAGUGAGGAAGAUUGAUGUAAAAGAGUAAGGUUUCGAAGUUUCAGAGCUUCAAAAAAGGGGGGGGG